Long non-coding RNA from Homo sapiens (human), 1600 nucleotides. Ensembl annotates it as long intergenic non-protein coding RNA 635. Lineage: Eukaryota; Metazoa; Chordata; Mammalia; Primates; Hominidae. The record is from Ensembl.
AGGAAUGCUUCUUUGUCUCUGUGUGGUCUCUUCAGCAUAGCAACAGCAGCGUAGCUGAACAUCUUACGGAUGGCCCAGGGCUCCAAAGGCUCGUUUCCUAAGUGAGAGAGAGCCUGGCUGAAGCUGUAUUACCAUUCAUUCUCCAGCCUCCGAAGUCUCAAAGCAUCACUUCCACCAUACUCUAACUGUCAAGACAAACACAAAGGCCCAGAAACUGCCAGACUGUCUUCUGAAGUGGCUAUAAUAUUUACACUCCCAUCAGCAGUGUAGAAGGGGUCUCACUAUGUUGUCUGGAGUGCUGUGGUGGAGUGGAGUGGCUAUUCACAGAGCCUGUUCUGCUGGGACACAGAAUCACUUGCUCCAUCUCAUACAUUGAUGAUGAUUAAUUUGUAUGUGUACCUUCCAAAAAAGAUGGUUGUGUUUGAAUGGAGGCCUUCUGGACAGGAAAAUAUGGAGAGUGCGUGCUUUGGAUUCAAGACUGGGAAUGAGGGGACCAGAAACCUAUUCUGUGGCUGUUUCUUGUUAGGACUUUCCUAAGCCUCUGGAAAAGUGCAAAGUACAAUUAACAUUUGAGUCUGUCUGAGUCAUGAAGAAAUGGAGAUUACUGAAAAUAAUUCAUUUUGGUAUCUUCUUACAUCCUGAGAGACUAAUCUUUCCAAGUUCAUCUGAGGCUCCUCUUCUCCAUGACAACCUCAUCCAGGGAUUUCUUCCUGUCCUGGUGUUUUAUGACAUAAUCACAUCCUUCCUGAGAUAAUGAGCACACAAUUGCCUGGAUACCUGAAGGAAUGGAGACAGCGGCAGAAAACACUGCAGAGAGGUGGAAACAUCCGUUAAUAUUUUAAAAUCCCAUUACUGCUACCAACAAUAAUAAUGGAUGCAUAGAAAUAGAUCUGGAUUAGCUGAGCUUGAAACAGUCCAUCUCACACACACACAAAAGAAUUUCAGAUACAGUGAACCCACAUGUUGAAGCUUUCUAGUAUAAUAAAAAUUUCAACUGUUCUGUUGAAUCAUCUGCCUGAUUGGAGGCUACAGAAAAGAUGUCAUCUUAGGAGUGCUUGCUCUGAGUGAGGCUCAUCUUCAAAUCUGAAUGACCACAAGGAGAUUUGAUUAUACAUGUGAACACCUCAGAAGGCACAGCCCACCCAGAAGGCAGACAGGUCAGGCUGCUUUUUCUUCAUUGCUUGGAUUCAAUCCUCCGGGCGGCUCAGGCUCAAACAUAACUUAAGCAUGAUUAAACUUUAGAAGAAGCUGCCAGGAAGACUGUGAAAUCUUCAUGCCCAAGGAUCCCUAAAAUUAGGAGCAACAACCACUUGGCUCAGACGGUUUAUGGAGGCAAAGGUUUGGAUGGGAUUAGAGAUUUCUAAAUGUGAGUUCGUGUCCUCUGCCAGACCACCUUACUUCCACCAUUCCUCAGCAAAUCAAGAAAAACAGGAGAAAAGACAUGCCUUUCCAUAAGUUAAAUCUAUUCUGUUUUAAUUCUAUAUUAUAUCUGCUGUACAACUUCUUUUGUUUGUAACACCAUAUUGUUGCUAGUAACUGGAAAUUAAUUUUCACAUGCCUCAGCUUAGAAAAAUAAAAAGCAGCCCUGCAUCAAUCCCAA